CGGGAAAAGACCGGACGUUUUCUGAGGCGAGACGUUUACUUCAGGACAGGAUCUGCGAUCAUGAUCUUCUUCACAGUGGCCGUUUUCAUGAUGUGGUCCUGCGAGAGCUCCGCCCGUCAUGAUGUCAUAUCCUGUGGGAGAAAGGGAUUUAUUUUUAAGCCCAAGAUUUAGACCCUUCCAGACCACACCAGACCACAUCCAGCUCUCCAAAACCACACAGAGUCCAGUCUGAUUCAUUCAUCUCCAUCAGGACAGACUGAUAUCACAGAUCAUUUCUCCUCUUCUGCUCCUCCCAUCUUUGGGUUUCCUGGAAAGAAAAACCUUCUGUGCUUUGGUUCUGUGUUCAGGGAAGCAUCUGAGAUGAAGUCGCUUCGAUGAGACGUGAAAAAGAAACUGCUGAGGUCUGAAAGAGCACAAGUGUAGUUCUGAUUAUUGUUGGUAUA
Long non-coding RNA from Labeo rohita (rohu), 443 nucleotides. RefSeq lists it as uncharacterized. The transcript has 5 exons. Lineage: Eukaryota; Metazoa; Chordata; Actinopteri; Cypriniformes; Cyprinidae. The record is from RefSeq and is a predicted model, not a curated record.